GAAAAAUCAAUUACAAUCGAAGUCCCCAAGUCUCCGUCUCCUUCAACCUCAUCACCAUCUUCCGUCGCAAGGAGUGCAGCGCCGAUAGAUAUCGACGAUUCGUUUCAGAUCCCUCCCCACCAUCGUGUUUAACCCCGUGCUUCGUCUGUUUCGGCAUCGAUCGCACGUUAGCGGAGGCGAUCUGGAGAAAGCAUGGUUGGUGACGAUGUCUCAUUGGAAGGAUUGGAGCAAGAGCUCGAAGAUUGCAAAGCUGACGAGUUGCCAACAUACUGUCCAAAGGAACGAAAUCGCGAGACUAUACGAAGGAUGUGGAGAACAAUUUACGGCAAUCUGAACUCGAAUCCAUUGAGGCUGAAAUUGGUUCAAUAAGCUCAGAUAUUAAGAUUCUUCAAGAGAAAUCUAUGGACAUGGGGCUUAAGCUCAAGAAUCGAAAGACCUUCUUUGAUGCUGAGAUCAAGAAAAUGAA
Andrographis paniculata is the source of this 466-nucleotide long non-coding RNA. RefSeq lists it as uncharacterized. The transcript has 4 exons. The record is from RefSeq and is a predicted model, not a curated record. NCBI's taxonomy places the organism in Eukaryota, Viridiplantae, Streptophyta, Magnoliopsida, Lamiales, Acanthaceae.